GACGAACGCUGGCGGCGUGCUUAACACACGCAAGUCGAACGGAAAGGCCCUUCGGGAUACUCGAGUGGCGAACGGGUGAGUAACACGUGGGUGAUCUGCCCUGCACUUUGGGAUAAGCCUGGGAAACUGGGUCUAAUACCGAAUAGGACCACGCGCUUCAUGGUGUGUGGUGGAAAGCUUUUGCGGUGUGGGAUGGGCCCGCGGCCUAUCAGCUUGUUGGUGGGGUAAUGGCCUACCAAGGCGACGACGGGUAGCCGGCCUGAGAGGGUGACCGGCCACACUGGGACUGAGAUACGGCCCAGACUCCUACGGGAGGCAGCAGUGGGGAAUAUUGCACAAUGGGCGCAAGCCUGAUGCAGCGACGCCGCGUGAGGGAUGACGGCCUUCGGGUUGUAAACCUCUUUCAAUAGGGACGAAGCGUGAGUGACGGUACCUAUAGAAGAAGCACCGGCCAACUACGUGCCAGCAGCCGCGGUAAUACGUAGGGUGCGAGCGUUGUCCGGAAUUACUGGGCGUAAAGGGCUCGUAGGUGGUUUGUCGCGUUGUUCGUGAAAACUCACAGCUUAACUGUGGGCGUGCGGGCGAUACGGGCAGACUAGAGUACUGCAGGGGAGACUGGAAUUCCUGGUGUAGCGGUGGAAUGCGCAGAUAUCAGGAGGAACACCGGUGGCGAAGGCGGGUCUCUGGGCAGUAACUGACGCUGAGGAGCGAAAGCGUGGGGAGCGAACAGGAUUAGAUACCCUGGUAGUCCACGCCGUAAACGGUGGGUACUAGGUGUGGGUUCCUUCCUUGGGAUCCGUGCCGUAGCUAACGCAUUAAGUACCCCGCCUGGGGAGUACGGCCGCAAGGCUAAAACUCAAAGGAAUUGACGGGGGCCCGCACAAGCGGCGGAGCAUGUGGAUUAAUUCGAUGCAACGCGAAGAACCUUACCUGGGUUUGACAUGCACAGGACGCCGGCAGAGAUGUCGGUUCCCUUGUGGCCUGUGUGCAGGUGGUGCAUGGCUGUCGUCAGCUCGUGUCGUGAGAUGUUGGGUUAAGUCCCGCAACGAGCGCAACCCUUGUCCUAUGUUGCCAGCGGGUUAUGCCGGGGACUCGUAGGAGACUGCCGGGGUCAACUCGGAGGAAGGUGGGGAUGACGUCAAGUCAUCAUGCCCCUUAUGUCCAGGGCUUCACACAUGCUACAAUGGCCGGUACAAAGGGCUGCGAUGCCGUGAGGUGGAGCGAAUCCUUUCAAAGCCGGUCUCAGUUCGGAUCGGGGUCUGCAACUCGACCCCGUGAAGUCGGAGUCGCUAGUAAUCGCAGAUCAGCAACGCUGCGGUGAAUACGUUCCCGGGCCU
Molecule: ribosomal RNA, 1337 nt
Filed under: uncultured bacterium
Lineage: Bacteria
Description: bacterial SSU rRNA
Rfam family: Bacterial small subunit ribosomal RNA
Source: RNAcentral